Long non-coding RNA from Junco hyemalis (dark-eyed junco), 770 nucleotides. Lineage: Eukaryota; Metazoa; Chordata; Aves; Passeriformes; Passerellidae. The record is from Ensembl.
GUUCCUGUGAGUGUUGCUACGUCCUCAUAAAUAUUGGUUGAACCUGGAGCUGUUCUCUGCCAGGGACGUCAUGGAGCCUGGCGUCAGAGCCCCCCACCUGAAGGAAAACAUUGCCUCCUUGGCUUGGCUCCUUGCAAAUACAGGCCAUGGCCAAUUCCCAGAGGUUUGCAGGCCCAAGCCAGAACGUGCAGAGGUGUUCCAGGGAACUAUUAAAGAUAACAGCGGAGAAGCUGCCCAGUCUGUCGCGCCCAACCAUGCUGCUGAAUCGCUACGCUACAGAUCCCUGGUAUCAGCAACUCUUCAUCAAUCUGGUAAAACUGAAGCCAACUCUAAAAACAAACAUUUCCUCCAUGAACAAUAUGUUUGUUAUAUUUUCUCAUUUGUUUAUGAUGGCUGUGUCAGCCGCACUGAUUUACAUAAACACUGCCAAUCCUGGGACGUUACAUUCUCAACAAAAGUAGCUGAGUACAAACAGCAUUCCGAAGUUUUAAUUCAUAUUGUAUAAACAUAACAGAUGUUGAUAAAAUGAGCCAAAAAGAAAAUACAACAAAGGAGACCAUUUCAAGGGGGCUUUUGAUUAAAAUACAUUCCAGAUUGACAAAAUGAUACAAUGUUAAUGGAAUAGAUCAUUUAAAUGUCAUUAUUUGGCUCUUAUAGUUCUAUAAAGCAAAUAUAAAGCAACGCUUUUGAGAUUUAAAUGCCAUUACAGUACAGUGCCUAUACAUCAACUUAUAAAUAAAACUAUAUUUCUUUUCCCUUUCCUUUUUUUU